ACGAACGCUGGCGGCGUGCUUAACACCUGCAAGUCGAACGGAAAGGCCCUGCUUUUGUGGGGUGCUCGAGUGGCGAACGGGUGAGUAACACGUGAGUAACCUGCCCUUGACUUUGGGAUAACUUCAGGAAACUGGGGCUAAUAUCGGAUAGGAGCUCCUGCUGCAUGGUGGGGGUUGGAAAGUUUCGGCGGUUGGGGAUGGACUCGCGGCUUAUCAGCUUGUUGGUGGGGUAGUGGCUUACCAAGGCUUUGACGGGUAGCCGGCCUGAGAGGGUGACCGGCCACAUUGGGACUGAGAUACGGCCCAGACUCCUACGGGAGGCAGCAGUGGGGAAUAUUGCACAAUGGGCGGAAGCCUGAUGCAGCAACGCCGCGUGCGGGAUGACGGCCUUCGGGUUGUAAACCGCUUUCGCCUGUGACGAAGCGUGAGUGACGGUAAUGGGUAAAGAAGCACCGGCUAACUACGUG
RNAcentral lists this ribosomal RNA (467 nucleotides) under uncultured bacterium. RNAcentral's name for it is "partial 16S ribosomal RNA". It matches the Rfam family "Bacterial small subunit ribosomal RNA", at positions 29 to 507 of the family's 1533-position model. The record is from RNAcentral.